ACAGGCACGGCCAGUUUGAGCAUUUUCACUGAAUUGCCAAACCAGUUGUGCCUGUAGA
This 58-nucleotide microRNA precursor is filed under the name Bos taurus (domestic cattle). Its description in RNAcentral is "microRNA bta-mir-6715 precursor". RNAcentral also lists the same sequence under 7 other names. Lineage: Eukaryota; Metazoa; Chordata; Mammalia; Artiodactyla; Bovidae. The record is from miRBase by way of RNAcentral.